RNAcentral lists this ribosomal RNA (284 nucleotides) under Salmonella enterica subsp. enterica serovar Infantis. RNAcentral's name for it is "partial 16S ribosomal RNA". It matches the Rfam family "Bacterial small subunit ribosomal RNA", at positions 1 to 283 of the family's 1533-position model. RNAcentral also lists the same sequence under 2 other names. The record is from RNAcentral. Lineage: Bacteria; Pseudomonadati; Pseudomonadota; Gammaproteobacteria; Enterobacterales; Enterobacteriaceae.
AAAUUGAAGAGUUUGAUCAUGGCUCAGAUUGAACGCUGGCGGCAGGCCUAACACAUGCAAGUCGAACGGUAGCACAGAGAGCUUGCUCUCGGGUGACGAGUGGCGGACGGGUGAGUAAUGUCUGGGAAACUGCCUGAUGGAGGGGGAUAACUACUGGAAACGGUGGCUAAUACCGCAUAACGUCGCAAGACCAAAGAGGGGGACCUUCGGGCCUCUUGCCAUCAGAUGUGCCCAGAUGGGAUUAGCUUGUUGGUGAGGUAACGGCUCACCAAGGCGACGAUCCC